UGGCGCACGGGUGAGUAACGCGUGGGAACGUGCCCUUCAGUACGGGACAACGUCGGGAAACUGACGCUAAUACCGUAUAAUAUCUCCGGAUCAAAGAUUUAUCGCUGAAGGAUCGGCCCGCGUCUGAUUAGUUUGUUGGUGAGGUAACGGCUCACCAAGACUACGAUCAGUAGCUGGUCUGAGAGGAUGAUCAGCCACACUGGGACUGAGACACGGCCCAGACUCCUACGGGAGGCAGCAGUUAGGAAUAUUGGACAAUGGGGGAAACCCUGAUCCAGCCAUGCCGCGUGUGUGAUGAAGGCCUUAGGGUUGUAAAGCACUUUCGUUGGGGAUGAUAAUGACCGUACCCAAAGAAGAAGCCACGGCUAAAUUCGUGCCAGCAGCCGCGGUAAUACGAAUGUGGCAAGCGUUGUUCGGAAUCACUGGGCGUAAAGAAUGCGUAGGCGGCUUGACAAGUCGAGAGUGAAAUCCCAGGGCUUAACCCUGGAACUGCUUUCGAAACUGUUUUGCUAGAGUCCCGGAGGGGUUGGCGGAAUUCCGAGUGUAGAGGUGAAAUUCGCAGAUAUUCGGAGGAACACCAGUGGCGUAGGCGGCCAACUGGACGGGAACUGACGCUGAGGCAUGAAAGUGUGGGGAUCAAACAGGAUUAGAUACCCUGGUAGUCCACACCGUAAACGAUGUGUGCUAGUUGUCGGGCAGUUUACUGUUCGGUGACGGAGCUAACGUUUUAAGCACACCGCCUGGGAAGUACGGCCGCAAGGUUAAAACUCAAAGGAAUUGACGGGGACCCGCACAAGCGGUGGAACAUGUCCUUUAAUUCGUAGCAACGCGAAGAACCUUACCUACCCUUGACA
RNAcentral lists this ribosomal RNA (854 nucleotides) under uncultured bacterium. RNAcentral describes it as "bacterial SSU rRNA". It matches the Rfam family "Bacterial small subunit ribosomal RNA", at positions 96 to 986 of the family's 1533-position model. The record is from RNAcentral.